UCCAGUGGCGCAACUGGUUAGCGCGCGGUACUUAUAAUGCCGAGGUUGUGAGUUCGAUCCUCACCUGGGGAA
RNAcentral lists this transfer RNA (72 nucleotides) under Trichonephila clavata. Its description in RNAcentral is "tRNA-Ile". It matches the Rfam family "tRNA". Rfam says of the family: Transfer RNA (tRNA) molecules are approximately 80 nucleotides in length. Their secondary structure includes four short double-helical elements and three loops (D, anti-codon, and T loops). Further hydrogen bonds mediate the characteristic L-shaped molecular structure. tRNAs have two regions of fundamental functional importance: the anti-codon, which is responsible for specific mRNA codon recognition, and the 3' end, to which the tRNAs corresponding amino acid is attached (by aminoacyl-tRNA synthetases). tRNAs cope with the degeneracy of the genetic code in two manners: having more than one tRNA (with a specific anti-codon) for a particular amino acid; and 'wobble' base-pairing, i.e. permitting non-standard base-pairing at the 3rd anti-codon position. The record is from RNAcentral. Lineage: Eukaryota; Metazoa; Arthropoda; Arachnida; Araneae; Nephilidae.